GCAGCCUCAUCAACGUCUUGUACAACUGCAACAGGACUUCUCAACUUCUAUAAUCAAUGCCCGGAACAAUGAAGGCGAGCAGAUCAAAAGCCUUCUUCAUCGUCCUGUUUCUCUGUGACAUCCACUUUCAGAGAACCACGUACUUCACAGUCUUACAAGUUCCACGGAACACAACAGUUAUGUAAUCUUUUCAAGCAAAUUGACCCUUGGAGUCUAGGUUUUACCUUCCCCAGAAGAGAUCUUAGCACCAGAUCGCAAGAAGUCCAUGACACCAGGUUAAACAUGGAUAUG
Long non-coding RNA from Mobula hypostoma (lesser devil ray), 291 nucleotides. RefSeq lists it as uncharacterized. The transcript is spliced from 3 exons. The record is from RefSeq and is a predicted model, not a curated record. NCBI's taxonomy places the organism in Eukaryota, Metazoa, Chordata, Chondrichthyes, Myliobatiformes, Myliobatidae.